UGGGGAAUAUUGGGCAAUGGGCGGAAGCCUGACCCAGCAACGCCGCGUGAGGGAAGAAGGUUUUCGGAUUGUAAACCUCUGUUCUUGGGGAAGAGGAGGAGACGGUACCCAAGGAGGAAGCCCCGGCUAACUACGUGCCAGCAGCCGCGGUAAUACGUAGGGGGCGAGCGUUGUCCGGAAUGAUUGGGCGUAAAGGGCGCGCAGGCGGCCUGUCAAGUCAGUAGUGGAAGUCCAUUUUUCAAGGAUGGAAGUGCUAUAGAAACUGAUGGGCUUGAGUGCAGGAGAGGUUAUCGGAAUUCCCGGUGUAGCGGUGAAAUGCGUAGAGAUCGGGAGGAACACCGAGUGGCGAAGGCGGGUAACUGGACUGCAACUGACGCUGAGGCGCGAAAGUGUGGGGAGC
Molecule: ribosomal RNA, 400 nt
Filed under: uncultured bacterium
Lineage: Bacteria
Description: bacterial SSU rRNA
Rfam family: Bacterial small subunit ribosomal RNA
Source: RNAcentral